This 431-nucleotide ribosomal RNA is filed under the name uncultured bacterium. RNAcentral's name for it is "partial 16S ribosomal RNA". It matches the Rfam family "Bacterial small subunit ribosomal RNA", at positions 29 to 507 of the family's 1533-position model. The record is from RNAcentral.
AACGAACGCUGGCGGCAGGCCUAACACAUGCAAGUCGAGCGCCCCGCAAGGGGAGCGGCGGACGGGUGAGUAACGCGUGGGAAUAUGCCCUUUGCUACGGAAUAGUCUCGGGAAACUGGGGGUAAUACCGUAUACGCCCUUUGGGGGAAAGAUUUAUCGGCGAAGGAUUAGCCCGCGUUGGAUUAGGUAGUUGGUGGGGUAAUGGCCUACCAAGCCGACGGUCCAUAGCUGGUUUGAGAGGAUGAUCAGCCACACUGGGACUGAGACACGGCCCAGACUCCUACGGGAGGCAGCAGUGGGGAAUCUUAGACAAUGGGGGCAACCCUGAUCUAGCCAUGCCGCGUGAGUGAUGAAGGCCUUAGGGUUGUAAAGCUCUUUCAGCUGGGAAGAUAAUGACGGUACCAGCAGAAGAAGCCCCGGCUAACUCCGUG